This 448-nucleotide ribosomal RNA is filed under the name uncultured bacterium. RNAcentral's name for it is "SSU rRNA". It matches the Rfam family "Bacterial small subunit ribosomal RNA", at positions 26 to 518 of the family's 1533-position model. The record is from RNAcentral.
AGAACGAACGCUGGCGGCAGGCUUAACACAUGCAAGUCGAACGCUCGUAGCAAUACGGGAGUGGCAGACGGGUGAGUAACGCGUGGGAACAUACCCUCCGGUUCGGAAUAGCUCAGGGAAACUUGGAUUAAUACCGGAUACGGCUGAGAGGCGAAAGAUUUAUCGCCGGAGGAUUGGCCCGCGUUCGAUUAGCUUGUUGGUGAGGUAACGGCUCACCAAGGCGAUGAUCGAUAGCUGGUCUGAGAGGAUGAUCAGCCACAUUGGGACUGAGACACGGCCCAAACUCCUACGGGAGGCAGCAGUGGGGAAUAUUGGACAAUGGGCGCAAGCCUGAUCCAGCCAUGCCGCGUGAGUGAUGACGGCCUUAGGGUUGUAAAGCUCUUUCGCUCGGGACGAUAAUGACGGUACCGAGAUAAGAAGCCCCGGCUAACUACGUGCCAGCAGCCGC